This 311-nucleotide ribosomal RNA is filed under the name uncultured bacterium. RNAcentral's name for it is "bacterial SSU rRNA". It matches the Rfam family "Bacterial small subunit ribosomal RNA", at positions 540 to 849 of the family's 1533-position model. The record is from RNAcentral.
GUUAUCCGGAUUUACUGGGUGUAAAGGGAGACGUAGACGGUAGACCAAGUCUGAAGUGAAAGCCCGGGGCUCAACCCCGGAACUGCUUUGGAAACUGGUAAACUAGAGUGCAGGAGAGGUAAGUGGAAUUCCUAGUGUAGCGGUGAAAUGCGUAGAUAUUAGGAGGAACACCAGUGGCGAAGGCGGCUUACUGGACUGUAACUGACGUUGAGGCUCGAAAGCGUGGGGAGCAAACAGGAUUAGAUACCCUGGUAGUCCACGCCGUAAACGAUGAUUACUAGGUGUCGGGGAAUUAAACUCUUCGGUGCCGC